This 292-nucleotide ribosomal RNA is filed under the name uncultured bacterium. Its description in RNAcentral is "partial 16S ribosomal RNA". It matches the Rfam family "Bacterial small subunit ribosomal RNA", at positions 505 to 796 of the family's 1533-position model. The record is from RNAcentral.
GUGCCAGCCGCCGCGGUAAUACGGAGGGUGCAAGCGUUGUCCGGAAUCACUGGGUGUAAAGGGUGUGCAGGCGGGGCAGCAAGUCGGAUGUGAAAGCCCGUGGCUCAACCACGGAAGCGCCUUCGAUACUGCUGCUCUUGAGUCCCGGAGAGGCUGUCGGAAUUCGUGGUGUAGCGGUGAAAUGCGUAGAUAUCACGAGGAACACCAGAGGCGAAAGCGGGCAACUGGACGGGUACUGACGCUCAGGCACGAAAGCGCGGGGAGCAAACAGGAUUAGAUACCCGGGUAGUCC